CCCUUAGAUGUUCUGGGCUGCACGCGCGCUACACUGAUGCGCUCAACGAGUUUACGACCUUGCUUGGAAAGGUUGGGUAAUCUUCUUAAAACGCAUCGUGAUGGGGAUAGAUUAUUGCAAUUAUUAAUCUUCAACGAGGAAUUCCUAGUAAGCGCGAGUCAUCAGCUCGCGCUGAUUACGUCCCUGCCCUUUGUACACACCGCCCGUCGCUACUACCGAUUGGAUGGUUUAGCGAGAACUUUGGACCGGAGCUCGGGUGGUCAGCAAUGGCCGCCCGAGACAUACUGGGAAAUCGCUCCAGCUUGAUCAUCUAGAGGAAGUAAAAGUCGUAACA
RNAcentral lists this ribosomal RNA (334 nucleotides) under uncultured eukaryote. RNAcentral's name for it is "partial 18S ribosomal RNA". It matches the Rfam family "Eukaryotic small subunit ribosomal RNA", at positions 1470 to 1796 of the family's 1831-position model. The record is from RNAcentral.